UUUUUUUUUUUUUUUUUCUCCUUGGAUACUUCUCAUAUCCAUAGGGCCUGAUGAGAGUCAAGACUCUGGUUUAGAAUGGUGAUACCAUGUUACAAGAAAGCCAGAGUUCAGAAGCUGGAGCACGUUUUAAGCAAGCUAGACACGUCUCUAUGUGAUGUUGGAAGUGUAAGCAUCUUUCAGAGUUCAGAUGUAGAUAUAGCCAGAUUGCGUGGUAAGUGAUUGCAACUUCAAGAAAGUGAUAGUAUAUGCUUCAAAACGUGAGGCCUGGAGCACAAAGAGCAGAUAUACCAUGGCUGAAUAUCAUUUUCAGUAUGUCUGACUGAAAACAAGUAUUAACUUGUUUGUAGAAUUACAAAAAAAGAUAAAUGUUUGCUGCGAUCGCUAGUGAUCGCUGAGAGUUUUUCACGUCCCAUGGAAGGGUAGCUGUCGACUCUUGCUGCUUUCGUCAGAUGUUAGUUUAAAUAACUCUAUUUUUAAAAAAUUAAUUUUGUAGUUGCAGAUGAUUCUUUUUCAUUUGAGACUGGAUUUGAGAAUACACAUAUUUCUUUUUAGGGAAUGGAGACUACGUUCCAGUUCACAGGCUAUCAUAGUUUAGUGAGAAACGCAUGUGCGCGCACACACAUACGUUCAUAUCAUCGGUAAAGCUGCUUCAAAUUUGUCAAGGAGAAAAGGUCCCAUGAAUUAUAACCUGUAAUUUGUAUGAAAUGGGUCCUCUAGCUGAAAUAAAGCAAUACAGUUAUUUUUGUUAAAACUUCUAGGAAAAUACCAAACAUAAUUUCUUCGUUUGUGUCUUACCUUUCUUUAAUGCUAAUGUUGUAACUGUUUUGUUGCCUUAAUCUGUAAGACUCUCAUUGAUCCCUAGUGAGGCUUUUUGUUAAACCAGUUGAUUUUUCUGUCCUUUCUGCCUUCUAAACUCAUGGCGUUGGCUUAUUUGCAGCCUCACUGUUUACUGGUUAUCUCCUUCUUCUGCUUUCUCUACUGUUAGUCCGUAAUCUGCAGAGACCUGCUUUUCCCUUUGCCAAGGCAGUCCAUGCACUGAAGCAGUAGGGAAGCUUUCCUACUGUUAAGACGGAGAGCAGAUAUUGCAAACAUAUAUAAUUUUUUUUUUCUGCAACGUAUGAACCAUACAUUCAAACAAACGAACUAUUUCAAUUCACCUUUUCCGAAAAAAAAAACCACAAACCCAAAAAAGUAAGCAGUUAAUGUUAGUUCUCUAUUCUUUUGGGGUGUAUAGGUCUCAAUCCUUUACUACCCUUUUUACCAGUGAUUCUGGCCUUUUUUUUAAUAUGAAAAGUGAUACGUUAUGUACUCCUCUCACACAGACAAGAAGUGAUACGGCUGUCAGAGUUAUUACUGGAUUGAGGGGAACCAACAGAUCCAACAGAAAGGAUUACAUCUUCAGAGGAUAGUGCACUAAAAGGGAGAAAGACAAAAGAAAUAACAAAAGCUUCCUUAAGAGAACAUGACGUGCCUCAAAAAUGACUCGUGGGAAAGCUCUUUCCCUGGAAAUGUACAGAGGCCUGAAGGAGCGGGGUUACCAUGAGCAGCUGCAGCAACAGCACCAACAAAAGCAGCAGGCGUUGGACCCGCGAUUUCCUGUGCUGUGCUGAGCCUGUGCAGCGCCUGGGGUCUCCUGGGUCGUAGACAUCUGCCGCUUGCGCAUCUCCAUCCGCUCUGAUCCCAUGGGCUGCAAGACAGCAAGAGAAGGGGGAAAUUUCCAGACCUCUCAGAAGGUGCUAUGAGAACGAACAAACUGUGCGAGAACCCUCUGUGCUGGAUGCUCUCUGCGCUUUGAGAAUUGGGGUCUGCCUUCUCUGUCUCCACCAUCUGGAGCAGAUACGUGCCUUCCUUGAAAAUGGGUUUGAGAAGAAAACACAGGAGAUUUAAAAACUGGAGAUGGACCGCUAUCUUGUACCUGUUUUCUAAGGAAUCCAAAUGUAUUUUUAGACGAGUGAUGGAAUGAGGUGAGAUACCUUUAACCAAAGGCUUUCAACCUCUACCAUCUCCAGCGUUGUUUAACCCCAGCCUGGGUACAGUUUUAGCCAGCUGCUGGAUGUAAAAUGAAAUGUACCUCUGUCCGAUUGGAUCAGUUUGACUGCCCAAAGUAAUGACAGCACUGCCAAAGACACCUACGUCUGCUUGGUGAGGGCUUGAGUAGCCAUAAUUUAAUAGAAAAAAUAUGACUUUCUGGUUCAUGUGGAUAGGGAAGGACUAAAAGGUGCUAUUCUGCCAGUUUCUGAGUAGUCAAUUGGAUCUGAUUUUGCUACUAUCAAGUCACUGUGGGGAAUCAAAUCCUUGAACAGGACAGUCAGUCAGUGUCCAGAUGGUAUUGAGAACUUACGUUGCAAAAGUCCUUGUAGUGGUGGUAUGUAUGGACCAGAUGAGACUCUGAAUUGUGCUUUGCUGUGCAGUUCUUACACCCAGCUGGCCCGUGCUCCUUGGGACCGCUCCAGCACAGGCAUGAUCCAUCCCUAGUGAUUAUCUUGAGCUACAUACAAAACAUCUCCUAGCUACCUGAAUUGUGUACAAAAGGCUGUCCUACGUGAUCAUUUCUGCAUCCGCGGGAAGUUUCUUCUGGCUACUUACAAGUCUCCUCUGACUGCCUGCAAUCUGUGUAGAGCUGCAUCAACUCUGCAGCCUUGGAGUCUCUGGAAGGACCAUAUUCUCCACUCCAGAUGUUAAUCAGCACAUUGAAACAUAAAGAAACCUGUCUAGGCACAGCGGGUCCUGCCUGGAGGAAUCCACAGAACUAUCCAAAUCCCGUGUGGAGCGCAGCGAUUAGUUAAAGACUUAAUUGAGAAAGGGGAGUAGGACUUGAUCAGCUUGUGUCUGGUUGGUUCACUGUUUCAAGCCAAUCUAACGUAGCAUCUAUGCAGAUGCCUAAGUGCAGAGUUUCUGGAUCUCCCAGGGAGCUGGGGGCCUCCUCCAUAUAAUGGUAACAACAAAUUUAGUCCAUUACAAAAAUGUCCCUAAAAAGCAAUGAACCAAAAAUAGAGGAAAAAUAAUGGCACACACAUGUUCUUGCUUCUUAUCCAGCUAGACAGCAUCUAUGAUUCAUAUAAAAAGUACAUGCUCGUGUUACUAAAUAAAUACUUAAAAAAAAAAAAAGAAGAAGGAAAAAAAGUCCAGGGAUUUAAGCCAGCAUCUGAAAAGCUACUUUUGAAAAUAGUGGAAAAACUACUGUAUGCCUUAAGAGUAAUGUUGAAGUACUGGAAUAAGUACAUCUGUCAUACCUGUUCCACUCCAAGGCAUGCCCGUCUGACAUUCAGAUUAUGAGGCAUUUCUCUGUGUAACCUUAUGAACGCAAAUGAGUGUGAAGGUCAGGAAUGAAAAUUAUUUCCCCGGUUAAAAGCACCUCGGAUCAUAUUUGGCUUAGUUGUAACAUUUAUAGUAUUUGCUAAUCUCUCAGUAGAAAGGUGGGCUACCAAGAAAAUAGCCUUCCCAAAGGAGGAAUAUUUAAAAUCUGAGCCACGAAUGUCACAUUUAAAAAACAAGACCCGCACCAAAUAAAAAAAAAAAACCAAAACAAAACAAAACCAAAAUACGAGAAUACAUAGAGAAGAAGAUUGUAGACUAAGCUUUUAUACUUUUAUCAUCAUCUUAUGCUAAAGCAUAAUGGCCAUUUUUUCAGCUCAAAGUGCAAAGAUACUAUUACUUGAACGUGAUGCGUGCUCCUCGUACACGUUACAGUUAGGCAAGUGUGCAAACCUGAACUCGUGCUGGGGUCCGAUGCGUGUGGCCAGAGCAUGGAGCUUUCCCAGUAACCAUCCAAUCGCCACGUGAAGCCCUGUGCUCUAAUGCUAGCUGACAGCCAGCCGGAGUGAGUGCACGGAUGUGGAUCAUCAUAGUCUAGAUAUUUUUUGGUAAAUGCUUUGGGCCUGAUCCAAACGCCAUUAAAACAAUGGAAACCGCCUCUUGGUUUCAGCGGGCUUUAAGUGAGGUUACGUAAAUCUCGCAAUUGCUGCUCGGAUCCCCCCAGUAAUGGUCACCAGUGAGCUGGAAGAAAGAGAUUCUGUCGUUGUCUACUAAUGUCAUAAGAGGCUUGCAACUGGGGUCAAGCUCCAAGUGAACCUCUGGACCUAUAUUUCAUUAAUUUAGAAAUAUUUGGAGCUGCAACAUACUCCCACUGAAGCCUGUGGCAGCUUAUUGUCAACUGAAACAUGAACGGGAAGCUUGAUGCUCGUGCUUCUCCCUCUUCAUUGACAAAUUUGACACGCAGGCUUUCUGCCAUCAAGCAACGUACAAUUUUGGAGAGCGAAGAAUUAAUAUAUGUUAAUGAACUCACCCACACAUCUGCACAUGCUUUAGGCAUAGUUAUCGGAUUGCCCACUUAGGGAGUGAAGAGCAAGAGCUCCUCGGAGUUUUUCUAUUAUUGGAGACCUGGCAUCUUGCAGUGGGGAUGACUGAAAUGGUUGAGGAUUUACAAAUGCAAGACAGAGGCUGGCAGCCAGGAGACUGGCAGCCACGCAGAAUAAAGCAGCUUCUUAUGUCACUGCUGCGCCCGAGUCCAUCGAAGGCUUAAGUGGAUAAAAUUGCAAGAGAAAGUAGUAUCCUUCCACGAGUUCAAAUAACAACUCUGGGAUGCUUUUGUGUAAAAUGUCCAGAAAUUGAGUGCCUUUACCUGUUUUAUUUAAUUUAUUUUUCCAGAGGAGCAGCAGCUCAGAGGAGCGGGGUUCAUCUAUUCAGGUGAACGCGUUGCUUUACAUUUCAAAGGCAAAGGCUGAAAAGGUAUCACACCCCCAGAGUAACAGGUAAUGGUGCCUUGAUCAUGUCACCUGUAACUGAGGUCCUUUUCUCCCAAGGGCUUAGAUGUUUUCUGCUCCUUUUUCUUUGCUAUUCAGUGCUGCACAUUUGGCCGCCAGAUCAGCCCGCUGUCUGCAAAAACACCUCCUGCACUGAAGUAUUUUUCUUAGUAAAAUCUGACUUUCCUGUUAAGAAACGUAGUUACUUGGGGUUUCAGUGGAAUUUCUUUGUAUUUUUUUUUUUUUUUAGAGGGAUGCCCUGUAUCUCCUCUGGUAGUAUUGUAAAGUAUUUCUUUACUUUGGAUUUUAUCACAAGAGACCUCACCGAAAAUGUUAUUCUAACGUGCAGUUAGCAGGGUCGCUCGCUGUCAUUAUUUCUCCUGCAAUAUGGGAAAGACACGAGAGAAUUUUUUACCAGUUGCACAGAAAAAGCAACAAAAGCAACCUGCCGCUCAGGUCCAGCCAUUUAUGCGGGUGCUGUGACAGUGGAGCAGUAAAAAUGCGAGUAUGGAUGUAACUUCAUCCCAUGCUGAGUCCCUUCACAAACUAGGUCACUGCAAACCGCAAUUAAGUUAAAUCAGCGUCAAGCCCUUCUCCUCUGCGCUGCACAGACUGGCGGCAUCCCCUGCCUCGUCUUCCGUGGCAGCUGGAGUCAGCCUCAGCGGAUGGAUGUCAGUUCACACUGGCUGAUCGGCUGUCUCAGAAGCAAAAUUAAACAAAAUAAACCCCAGGCUUCUCCAAUCACGGGAGUUCUACCACUGAUUCAGCCCUGCGCUGGCUGGCUUUACUGUCAGGGGAAGUAUUUGCUUCUAGUUAUUUUUACGCAGCUCGCUUUACAAAAAAAAAAAUAAAAAUAAUUCAUUCAGCCUAAUAUUUUACACACCUCUUUACUAUGCAAAGAGUGAAAGUGGUACACACAGCAGAUUGCUCUGCUCACUCCCAUCGUCUCCGACUGAGCGCUUGGUUGCAUCGUGCUUAAUUAUGAAUGGUCUCCAAAAAAGCCCAUUUUACUGUACUAUGAAGUGACUCAUAUCACACAGAGCUCUGACAACUCGCGCUGGGUAUCGGAGUCACAUGGCGCUGUAUUAGGCGGUGACUCAUUUCAUAUUGUACUCAGUGCCGAGAUCUGACUCACAUCGAACUGUGCGAGGAGCUGACUGACAUUGUACUGGUCCGAAAGCUGGUUUGAAUCGGGAUGACUCACCCUGGAGUGCAUUAAAUAGUGAUUCACGUACCGUUUCCUAUUGAUUCCGAUUGUCGCGAUUCACUUCACGUUGUACUACACCGGCACCAGGCUGCUCCGGCAGGGCCCGGGCUCUGGGGCAGCUGCCCUUUGUAGUGCCAAGCGGAGUACUACCAAAGUCGAUUUA
Molecule: long non-coding RNA, 6112 nt
Organism: Chroicocephalus ridibundus (black-headed gull)
Lineage: Eukaryota; Metazoa; Chordata; Aves; Charadriiformes; Laridae
Exons: 3
Source: RefSeq, a predicted model, not a curated record